AGUCGAACGAAGUCCUUCGGGGCUUAGUGGCGCACGGGUGCGUAACGCGUGGGAAUCUGCCCCUUGGUUCGGAAUAACAGUUGGAAACGACUGCUAAUACCGGAUGAUGACGUAAGUCCAAAGAUUUAUCGCCGAGGGAUGAGCCCGCAUAGGAUUAGGUAGUUGGUGUGGUAAAGGCGCACCAAGCCGACGAUCCUUAGCUGGUCUGAGAGGAUGAUCAGCCACACUGGGACUGAGACACGGCCCAGACUCCUACGGGAGGCAGCAGUGGGGAAUAUUGGACAAUGGGCGAAAGCCUGAUCCAGCAAUGCCGCGUGAGUGAUGAAGGCCUUAGGGUUGUAAAGCUCUUUUACCCGGGAUGAUAAUGACAGUACCGGGAGAAUAAGCUCCGGCUAACUCCGUGCCAGCAGCCGCGGUAAUACGGAGGGAGCUAGCGUUAUUCGGAAUUACUGGGCGUAAAGCGCACGUAGGCGGCUUUGUAAGUAAGAGGUGAAAGCCCAGAGCUCAACUCUGGAAUUGCCUUUUAGACUGCAUCGCUUGAAUCAUGGAGAGGUCAGUGGAAUUCCGAGUGUAGAGGUGAAAUUCGUAGAUAUUCGGAAGAACACCAGUGGCGAAGGCGGCUGACUGGACAUGUACUGACGCUGAGGUGCGAAAGCGUGGGGGGCAAACAGGAUUAGAUACCCUGGUAGUCCACGCCGUAAACGAUGAUAACUAGCUGUCCGGACACUUGGUGUUUGGGUGGCGCAGCUAACGCAUUAAGUUAUCCGCCUGGGGAGUACGGCCGCAAGGUUAAAACUCAAAUGAAUUGAC
Molecule: ribosomal RNA, 810 nt
Filed under: uncultured bacterium
Lineage: Bacteria
Description: bacterial SSU rRNA
Rfam family: Bacterial small subunit ribosomal RNA
Source: RNAcentral